UGCCAGCAGCCGCGGUAAUACGGAGGGUGCGAGCGUUAAUCGGAUUUAACUGGGUGUAAAGGGCGCGUAGGCGGGGUUUGUAAGUCAGAGGUGAAAUCCUGCGGCUCAACCGUAGAACUGCUUUUGAAACUAACAAACCUUGAGUUUGGAAGAGAGAGAUGGAAUUCCAGGUGUAGUGGUGAAAUACGUAGAUAUCUGGAAGAACACCAGUGGCGAAGGCGAUCUCUUGGUCCAUAACUGACGCGGAGGCGCGAAGCGUGGGGAGCAAACAGGAUUAGAUA
RNAcentral lists this ribosomal RNA (281 nucleotides) under uncultured bacterium. RNAcentral describes it as "partial 16S ribosomal RNA". It matches the Rfam family "Bacterial small subunit ribosomal RNA", at positions 506 to 784 of the family's 1533-position model. The record is from RNAcentral.